AGUGAACGCUGGCGGUAGGCCUAACGCAUGCAAGUCGUACGGCAGCCCAGUAAGAGCUUGCUCUUCCGAGUGGCGAGUGGCGGACGGGCGAGGAAUACAUCGGCAUCUACUUUUUCGUGGGGGAUAACGUAGGGGAACAUACGCUAAUACCGCAUACGACCUACGGGUGAGCGCAGGGGAUCUUCGUACCUUGCGCGAUUGUAUGAGCCGAUGUCGGAUUAGCUAGUUGGCGGGGUAAAGGCCCACCAAGUCGACGAUCCGUAGCUGGUCUGAGAGGAUGAUGAGCCACACUGGAAAUGAGAGACGGCCAAGACUGGUAUGGGAGACAGCAGUUGGGAAUAUUGGACAAUGGGGGCAAGCCUGAUGCAGCCAGACCGCGUGGGUGAAGAAGGCAUUCGGGUUGUAAAGCCCUUUUGUUGGGAAAGAAAAGCAGCAGGUUAAUACCCCGCUGUUCUGACGGUACCCAAAGAAUAAGCACCGGCUAACUUCGUG
RNAcentral lists this ribosomal RNA (492 nucleotides) under uncultured bacterium. Its description in RNAcentral is "partial 16S ribosomal RNA". It matches the Rfam family "Bacterial small subunit ribosomal RNA", at positions 29 to 507 of the family's 1533-position model. The record is from RNAcentral.